GAUGAACGCUGGCGGCGUGCCUAAUACACGCAAGUCGAGCGAACAGACGAGGAGCUUGCUCCUCUGACGUUAGCGGCGGACGGGUGAGUAACACGUGGAUAACCUACCUAUAAGACUGGGAUAACUUCGGGAAACCGGAGCUAAUACCGGAUAAUAUAUUGAACCGAAUGGUUCAAUAAUGAAAGACGGUUUUGCUGUCACUUAUAGAUGGAUCCUCCACGCAUUCGCUAGUUGGUAAGGUAACGGCUUACCAAGGCGACGUUUCGUAGCCGACCUUAGAAGGUGAUCGGCCACACUGGCAAGGAAACACGGUCCAGACUCCUACGGGAGGCAGCAGUAGGGAAUCUUCCGCAAUGGGCGAAAGCCUGACGGAGCAACGCCGCGUGAGUGAUGAAGGUCUUCGGAUCGUAAAACUCUGUUAUUAGGGAAGAACAAAUGUGUAAGUAACUAGGCACGUCUUGACGGUACCUAAUCAGAAAGCCACGGCUAACUACGUG
This 497-nucleotide ribosomal RNA is filed under the name uncultured bacterium. RNAcentral's name for it is "partial 16S ribosomal RNA". It matches the Rfam family "Bacterial small subunit ribosomal RNA", at positions 28 to 507 of the family's 1533-position model. The record is from RNAcentral.